Molecule: long non-coding RNA, 87 nt
Organism: Etheostoma spectabile (orangethroat darter)
Lineage: Eukaryota; Metazoa; Chordata; Actinopteri; Perciformes; Percidae
Exons: 3
Source: RefSeq, a predicted model, not a curated record
ACAUUUAUUCAAAAGGAUACAACAAGUAGAUCCGACCAGACAAUCUGAUUGGUUAACUUGACAUUUAGAACGUGCUCAAAUCAGCAU